AUUGAACGCUGGCGGCAGGCCUAACACAUGCAAGUCGAACGAGUGGCGGACGGGUGAGUAAUGUCUGGGAAACGGCCUGAUGGAGGGGGAUAACUACUGGAAACGGUAGCUAAUACCGCAUACCAUCAGAUGUGCCCAGAUGGGAGUAGCGAGUUGGUGGGGGAACGGCUCACCAAGGCGACGAUCCCUAGCUGGUCUGAGAGGAUGACCAGCCCCACUGGGACUGAGACACGGUCCAGACUCCUACGGGAGUCAGCAGUGGGGAAUAUUGCACAACGGGCGCAAGCCUGAUCCGGCCAUGCCGCGUGUAUGAAGAAGGCCUUCGGGUUGUAAAGUACUUUCAGCGGGGAGGCGUUACCCGCAGAAGAAGCACCGGCUAACUCCGUGCCAGCAGCCGCGGUAAUUC
This 406-nucleotide ribosomal RNA is filed under the name uncultured bacterium. RNAcentral describes it as "partial 16S ribosomal RNA". It matches the Rfam family "Bacterial small subunit ribosomal RNA", at positions 30 to 526 of the family's 1533-position model. The record is from RNAcentral.